This 93-nucleotide transfer RNA is filed under the name Acidipropionibacterium virtanenii. RNAcentral's name for it is "tRNA-Ala". The record is from RNAcentral. Lineage: Bacteria; Bacillati; Actinomycetota; Actinomycetes; Propionibacteriales; Propionibacteriaceae.
GGUGGAGGUGGCCCGGUAGAAGGGUUCGGCGGCCGGCGCCCGCCAGUCGAUCACCAGCGGCUCGUACUCGGAGUCCCGGACCCCGAUCCGGCC